This 253-nucleotide ribosomal RNA is filed under the name uncultured bacterium. RNAcentral's name for it is "partial 16S ribosomal RNA". It matches the Rfam family "Bacterial small subunit ribosomal RNA", at positions 524 to 776 of the family's 1533-position model. The record is from RNAcentral.
UACGGGGGGGGCAAGCGUUGUUCGGAAUUACUGGGCGUAAAGGGCGCGUAGGCGGCCUUCUACGUCGGACGUGAAAUCCCUCGGCUUAACCGAGGAACUGCGUCCGAUACUGAAAGGCUUGAAUCCGGUAGAGGGAUGUGGAAUUCCAGGUGUAGCGGUGAAAUGCGUAGAUAUCUGGAGGAACACCGGUGGCGAAGGCGGCAUCCUGGACCGGCAUUGACGCUGAGGCGCGAAAGCUAGGGGAGCAAACGGG